AAUAAAACAAAGAUCUAACUCAAAAUUUGUGGAUUUGGAGAUUUUACAAUAAAACGCGUCUUCGUCGCGUAAAGAAUAGGUAGACUUCGACUCCAGCGUUUUAACUAUAAGAUCCAGAGAGAUACGCGAUUGUUGCUCUCUUUUCUAUCAACUGGAACUGAUAAGUCAGUUCUUAUAAAGUGGCGUGAUUCAGAGAUGCACCGGCAGUGAGCGGAGAUUGAAAUGCUGUCGUUUUCAGUAAAAUCAAAUAAUUCGGUAUUAGAUUAAAAGACUAAAGAAGUUAUGUAGAUUGAAGAGGAAAAUCAACAAAAUACAUAUAUCUCCAGAGCUCAAAAAUGUAACUGAAGAACUGACGAAAAUGAUGACACCGACUCAAUAUUUUACUGUCACUUAUGAGUUGACGAGAAAAAUGACACCUAAAUAAUACUAGCCAUUUACAGUCCUCUAAUUCGUCUUCAAGAUCAUCUUCAUCUAGUUCCGAUUCAUCUAGCUCAUCAUCGUCAAGCUCUUCUAGCUCAUCUUCAUCCAGUUUUUCAAGCUCCAAUAGUUCAAUGCCUACCCAAAACCCUGCCCCACAAAACUUUACAACGGAUUGUGAAGAAAAGACGUCUUACACCAAUUCACCACAAAAUACUAAGAGGCAGCAAAUUCAGCUGAGAGAGCGACGAAAUUACAAUAGAGUGGCCAGUUACAAUAUUUCUCCAGUAUACACAGAUCUAAGUGACGUCGACCUGAGUGACGACGAUCCACUGUAGAUUUUAAUACAUUGUUUAAUAAGCCUGUCAACAGAAGAAAUUUUAUGUUUGAAUCAAAGUUCUUCUAACUCUGACUGCAAUAAUAAACCAAAUAUUUAUCAGUCAGUUCAGCCUAUUGCAAUGCACUGCUGGACAUAGGCCUCCCCAAGUUCGCGCUAGACAUCCCGGUUUUCCGCAAUCCUCAUCCAGCUUACACCGGCAAUCUUACGUAGAUCGUCGGUCCAACGGGCCAGAGGACGUCACACACUGUGUUUGCCAAGACGCGGUCUCUACUCCAGAACGCAUCUGCUCCAACAGCCACCGGUCCUGCGACACAGAUGACCAGCCCACUGCCACUUCAACUUGCUAAUUCUGUGGGCUAUGUCGGUUACUUUCGUUCUCUCGCGGUAGUCUCGUUUCUAAUCCUAUCUUUGAGGGAAACCCCAAGCAUGGCCAGUUCCAUUGCACGUUGAGGGACUUUAUAUUUGUGGACCAGUCCCUUCGUCAGUGUCCAUGUCUCGGCUCGGUAUGUUAACACAGGCAGGACGUAUUGCUCGAAGACUUUUGUCUUCAAGCAUUGCGGAAUCUUUGAAGUGAAGACUCGACGAAGCCUGCCAAAUGCCGCCCAGCCCCACCGAAUCCUCCUAUCGGCCUCCUUCUCAAAGUUGUUGCGGCCUAGUUGGAUAGUAUGGCCUAAGUAAAUAUAAUCCUGAACAACUUAGAGAAGGUUACCAUCGACCGAUACCUGUCUCGGUAUGACUUGGUUGUUAGUCAUAACUUUCGUUUUGUCCAAGUUCAUACAGAGAACGACACGUCGGGAGGACUCGUUUAGACCGGCUAGCAUUUGGCCUAACUCAUCUAACGUGUCGUGUGUGUGUGUGAUAUCGUCGGCGAAACGAAGGUGAGAGAUGUAUUCACCGUUGACGAUGAUGCCUUGUUCCCCCCAAUCCAAGGUCUUAAAGAUAUCCUCCAGCGCAGUGGUAAACAGUUUCGGUGAUAUUACAUCUUGCUGUCUUACCCCACGCCGCAGGGAAAUAGGUCUGGUUCUGUGGUCCUGGACAUGAACGGUCAUCGUCGUUGCGUCGUACAUACAUUUCAGUACCACGAUAUAUCGCCAAUCGAUAUGACAUCUCUGCAGUCCAGGACAGCCCAGGUCUCGACAGAGUUGAAGGCUUUCUCGCAGUCCACAAAUUCCAUACACAGCGGCUGAUUAUAUGUCUCUGUCUUUUGAAUAAUCUGCCGAACAGUAUGGAUGUGGUCUACGGUGUUGUAGCCAUUUCGAAACCCAACCUGCUUUGGUGGUAGGAAUUCGUCGAGUCUUAUGGCGAGACGAUUCGAAACUACCCUCGAAAACAGCUUAUAUACGUGACUCAGAAGUGAGAUCGGUCUGUAAUUCUUCAGCAGAGACUUAACGCCUCUCCUAAAGAACAGCACCACCACACUCCUGGACCACAACUCCGGCGUGGUACCUCGGUGGAUGUCGGUGUUAAAGAGUCUUGCCAAGUCUUUUAGGGCAGGUCGCUCUGCGGCUUUAAGAAGCUCAGUGGUACAAAUAUGGUUAGGGGCCGCAAAAGGUCACUAAACGUUGAAAAAUGCCAUCAAAUUAGAGCAAAACGGCUCAGAAACAAAGGCCGUCAGUGUCAAAAGCUCGUAAACAAAUCCAGCUCGUUUUAUAAAAGAUACAUGUACCGAAAAAUGUGCAGAAAAUAUUGAUUCCGACGGUAUUUAACUUAGGGUUUCACCAACCAAAAAAAGGUCAGUGUGGUCUAUGUGUAUCAUAUGAUAAUUCAAACAAUCAGCAAAAACAAGAUGAUAGACAAUAUAAGAAAGAAGAGACUGCGGAUUUUUAUAUUAUUUACUAGCUGACCCCGCAAACGUUGUUUUGCCAUAUAUAUGUUAUUAACCCCCUUAAUCCCCCUCCCCCUUUUAACUUAGGGGUAUGAAAAAUAAAUUUUGUUCGAUUCUCAGACCUACCCGAUAUGCACACAAAAUUUCGUGUGAAUCGGUCUAGCCGUUUCGGAGGAGUUUAACUACAAACACCGCGACACGAGAAUUUUAUAUAUUAGAUUAUUUGUGGUUAGUAAUUAUUUGUGAUUUUAGGAGAUAUUUACUGGAGACUAAUUGUACCUAAUUCUUAUAAUAGUAUAUAGUUUUUGUUUUGUUUAAAAAACAAUAUUUGUAGCCAUAAAGAGAUAUAUAAAUAUCAGAUGAUUCAUAAAAAUUUGUUUAAUUUUAAAAAAAGGCGAUAAAUUUCAGUUUUCGUUUUAU
Molecule: unclassified non-coding RNA, 3002 nt
Filed under: Melitaea cinxia (Glanville fritillary)
Lineage: Eukaryota; Metazoa; Arthropoda; Insecta; Lepidoptera; Nymphalidae
Description: misc RNA ENSMCXG00005003314.1
Source: RNAcentral